RNAcentral lists this ribosomal RNA (456 nucleotides) under uncultured Levilinea sp. RNAcentral's name for it is "bacterial SSU rRNA". It matches the Rfam family "Bacterial small subunit ribosomal RNA", at positions 912 to 1382 of the family's 1533-position model. The record is from RNAcentral. Lineage: Bacteria; Bacillati; Chloroflexota; Anaerolineae; Anaerolineales; Anaerolineaceae.
GACGGGGCCCCGCACAAGCAGCGGAGCGUGUGGUUUAAUUCGAUGCUACACGAGAACCUUACCAGGGUUUGACAUACAAGUAGUAGGGAAAGGAAACUGGACGACCCUUCGGGGAGCUUGAACAGGUGCUGCAUGGCUGUCGUCAGCUCGUGUCGUGAGAUGUUCGGUUAAGUCCGCUAACGAGCGCAACCCUCGCUGUGUGUUACAAGUGUCACACGGAACUGCCGGUCAUAAACCGGAGGAAGGUGGGGAUGACGUCAAGUCAGCAUGGCCUUUAUAUCCUGGGCUACACACACGCUACAAUGGGAAGGGACAAUAGGUUGCGAAACCGCGAGGUGGAGCCAAUCCAGCAAAACUUCCCUCAGUUCAGAUUGCAGGCUGCAACUCGCCUGCAUGAAGUUGGAGUUGCUAGUAAACGCAGGUCAGCCAUACUGCGUUGAAUACGUUCCCGGGCUU